GCGCGUGCCGGGUGUCCGGUGCGAGCCCGAGGGGCUGCGAGUCACCUGAGGAUCCCCCGAGAGCCUGGAGACGGCCAGGCCCGAACGUCUCUGGGGACGCGACGGAGUCCUGGGUCCUUUCAGGCCGGCUCGGUGCGGUGGCCGAGCCAGCUGCGUGGAGAGAGGCGGAGGACGUUGUUCCAGCUGCUCUCUGCCCGGCUCCGGGUUCCAAGGAUGUUUCCUGAGUAAACGGGGACCCCCCCCCCCUCCUCUGCGCCCUCCGGGUUGGGGCUCUGCCAGGCCCUGUACACCGGGAGAUAGGACACUUGGAUUCGAACCCGUAGCAGAGGUGUAAUUUCAUUCGAAGUUACCUCCCCAGCCAGGUCCCCGAAUUUGGGCCACACGCUUAGGCUGCAGGCGGCUUUCGGGCCAGUACCCUAAGACCAGAGACUUUCAACUCCUGACUUCUCACCUCCACCUGCUCCUCAAGAUCAGUCAGUUUUGGUGUGCAGAGUCCUGUGCCAGCCACUAAAGUAAGCACACAGGUCAGCCAGACCAUCCCCCUCCGGGUGUCACCCCCAAAGCAAUUGAAAUGGGGAUGGAUGAGUUACAGUCAGGAAUGCUGUGUACUAGAGAGGCUUAGUAGUGCGCGCAAGCAACCGAAAGGCUUUUAAUUGAAGUGGUAUUUGACUGUGCCCUUGUGCAGUGACUACAGGAGUGAGUGUUCAUGGCACCUAUUCCCUGCAAAGUCCUUUCUUUCUCCCAGAGUCCCACUUCGUCUUUCAGCUCACCUUUUCCUCAUUCCAGCUGCAGCCCUGAACUACUCUGGGUCUCCAGUUAAGCUCUAGUCUUCCCAAGUAACCUGCUUAGAUGUCUAGAGUUGUAUUGGGCAGGACUGGGAGCUGUUGGAAAGAGGGUCGCUGCAGAUGUAGCUCUGGAGGGGUAUCACCCACAGUGGGCUGCACCUUCCCACAGUCAGUAAUAAGUCAAAAAAAUGCCCCACGCGCCAAUCUGAGGAGGUCAGUUCUCCCCUUGAGCGUCUCCUUCCUCGAUGACUCUAUUUUCUGUCAAGUUGACAAAUCAACAAACAGACAAACAAACUCACCAGCACCUUGGGAAGCCACCCAACAAGUGUGACCAGGGAGCUACAGCUUCAGGGCACGCCAGUGUGCAUGCAGGCCAGCCAUAAGAAGCCAACCUUAACACCUGCUCUUCCCUUUGAGAGAAAAGUCCCUCCCCAGAGAGAUAACACUAAAUUUGGAUCCUUUCUGAUGUCAUAGUCUAUCAGUUUAAUUUGACUUUAAUGGUAUGCGCAGACUUAGUGCAAAAGGUGUGCAGCUAGCCAGCCCACAGUGGUAAAAUGUCCCACUGUUUUCCACGGUGGGAAAAAAAAAUCAGCUAAGAAUAAGAGCAUUAGCCAGGCAGUGGUGGCCCACGCUUUUAAUCCCAGCACUUCGGAGGGCGAGGCAGACAAAUCUCUGUGAGUUCGAGGCUAGCCAGGUCUACAGAGCUACACAGAGAAACCCUGUCUCAAAAAGGAAUGAGAGGGUUAGUUUGCAGAGAGCAGCGGUGCUCCUGGGCAGUUUCAGAGUGGAUGGAAGCACAGAUUUCUCAGUAACCCCCCCCCACACACACACACACAUUGUUUCCUCAGUCUGCUCUCUUGUGAUUGGUGUUCACCCAGUCCUCCAAGCCAAUACAUCUCCAACAGAACUGCUAGGGACAUCAGAUGCUGUACCACACUGGAGUUUGUUUUGGAAGAGUGACAUUCUGAGCACAAAGGUUAAGUCCAUUAUCCUCAUGGUGGCACGCAGGCAGACCUGGUGCUGGAGAAGUUGCUGAGAGUCGAACAUCUUGACCUUCAAUCAACAGGAAGAAAACUGAGACAUACCAAAGGAGCAUCUCAAGGACAGAAGUACUGAGCCAUGAGGUUUCUUAUUGUGCAGUUUUACCAGGUAACAAAAAAAUGUUUUCCAGACAGGUGGUGGUGGCGCAUGCCUUUAAUGCCAGCACUCAGGAAGCAGAG
Non-coding RNA from Cricetulus griseus (Chinese hamster), 2005 nucleotides. The record is from RefSeq and is a predicted model, not a curated record. NCBI's taxonomy places the organism in Eukaryota, Metazoa, Chordata, Mammalia, Rodentia, Cricetidae.